This 240-nucleotide unclassified non-coding RNA is filed under the name soil metagenome. RNAcentral describes it as "partial contains 5.8S ribosomal RNA, internal transcribed spacer 2, and large subunit ribosomal RNA". The record is from RNAcentral.
AACAUCGCGCACCUGCGGGAACCUGCGGAGGGAUCAUUAAUGAUUGGUGGCUGUUGCUGACUAGUGUUUCUAGUAUGUGCACGCCACACCUUCAAUCCCACUUACACCUGUGCAUCUUCUGUAAUAGAUCUAUGUGGAUACGGAGAUAUGAAAGUUUGCGCUCUCGUACUCUGUUGAAGCAGUCUACUACGUUUUUUUACACACACACAAUAGUCAUUGAAUGUAUUUUUUAUUCUUAUG